AGUGAACGCUGGCGGUAGGCCUAACACAUGCGAGUCGAACGGCAGCACAGUAAGAGCUUGCUCUUACGGGUGGCGAGUGGCGGACGGGUGAGGAAUACAUCGGAAUCUACUUUUUCGGGGGGGAUAACGUAGGGAAACUUACGCUAAUGCCGCAUACGACCUACGGGUGAAAGCAGGGGAUCUUCGGACCUUGCGCGAUUGAAUGAGCCGAUGUCGGAUUAGCUAGUUGGCGGGGUAAAGGCCCACCAAGGCGACGGUCCGUAGCUGGUCUGAGAGGAUGAUCAGCCACACUGGAACUGAGACACGGUCCAGACUCCUACGGGAGGCAGCAGUGGGGAAUAUUGGACAAUGGGCGCAAGCCUGAUCCAGCCAUACCGCGUGGGUGAAGAAGGCCUUCGGGUUGUAAAGCCCUUUUGUUGGGAAAGAAAAGCAGCAGGUUAAUACCCCGCUGUUCUGACGGUACCCAAAGAAUAAGCACCGGCUAACUUCGUG
Molecule: ribosomal RNA, 492 nt
Filed under: uncultured bacterium
Lineage: Bacteria
Description: partial 16S ribosomal RNA
Rfam family: Bacterial small subunit ribosomal RNA
Source: RNAcentral